ACUUCCAUUCAUACAGCUAAACAUUUUUCAGGAUUUUAGCUUGAAAAAUGGGAAAACAAAUAAACCAGUAUCUUUAGAGGUUGUCAGUAUCCAUAUCUUAAACAAAAGGUUAAAUGCGGUUAUGAGUGUCAUCAAGCACGUUUCCGUAAUGAAUUAAAAUUCAACAAAAUACAGCGUGAUAAAACAACGAUACAAAUCUUGAUUUUACAAGUUAUCGUUUGUUCUUUGUGAUUAUGUUUAUCAUUAUCAUCAUUUACUUUUAUUAAUAUGAUGACUAGCUUUCCUACCCAAAAGCAUGUUAUUGUAUUAGUAAUUUGGUUACCCGAAAAAGUAUAAAAACUUUUUCACUGGCUACCCUCUUUUGGUUACUUCCUAUGGUUGUAAAUAUUUGGAACAUCUUUACUUUCCUUCUUCAUCGUUUUAGGAAAGACGACAUUGUUCUUUAUAUUUCGCAUUACUGCAUGGUCGGUGAAUCAUUUAUUUGACCAAUGAUUCAAGUCUUAUACUCUCCAAUUGAUUUAGAGAAUUAAUACUUGGUAACUCGUCUCCAUUGUAAAUUAGGUCAAAGCAAUGGGAACUAUUCUCCAUAACUACCUAACCCAGUGUUUUGUACUUCUGGAAGCAUUAUAAAUAAUUUCUUUUGAAAAAUAAUUGUUAGAAUUUCAUUUUUAGGGACAUUUAAAAUGAUUAGGAAAUUUACACUGCUAUGUACAUUUAAUUAUGCCCACAUAGAUUGAAACGCACCAAUAAAAUUUGUGAAUUUCCAUAAAAAAUGCAUUUUAGCAGUAGAUUAUUGACGGUUUAUGUAUUCACAAUGUC
Molecule: unclassified non-coding RNA, 819 nt
Filed under: Schizosaccharomyces pombe (fission yeast)
Lineage: Eukaryota; Fungi; Ascomycota; Schizosaccharomycetes; Schizosaccharomycetales; Schizosaccharomycetaceae
Description: intergenic RNA (predicted)
Source: RNAcentral